GAUGAACGCUAGCUACAGGCUUAACACAUGCAAGUCGAGGGGAAACGACAUUGAAGCUUGCUUCGAUGGUCGUCGACCGGCGCACGGGUGAGUAACGCGUAUCCAACCUGCCUCUGACCAAGGGAUAACCCGUCGAAAGUCGGCCUAAUACCUUAUGCAGUCGUCGGAAGUCAUCUGAUGACGACGAAAGAUUUCAUCGGUGUGAGAUGGGGAUGCGUCUGAUUAGCUUGUUGGCGGGGUAACGGCCCACCAAGGCAACGAUCAGUAGGGGUUCUGAGAGGAAGGUCCCCCACAUUGGAACUGAGACACGGUCCAAACUCCUACGGGAGGCAGCAGUGAGGAAUAUUGGUCAAUGGGCGAGAGCCUGAACCAGCCAAGUAGCGUGCAGGAUGACGGCCCUAUGGGUUGUAAACUGCUUUUAUGCGGGGAUAAAGUGAGGGACGGGUCCUUCAUUGCAGGUACCGCAUGAAUAAGGACCGGCUAAUUCCGUG
Molecule: ribosomal RNA, 491 nt
Filed under: uncultured bacterium
Lineage: Bacteria
Description: partial 16S ribosomal RNA
Rfam family: Bacterial small subunit ribosomal RNA
Source: RNAcentral